This 648-nucleotide ribosomal RNA is filed under the name Wenyingozyma neixiangensis. Its description in RNAcentral is "eukaryotic LSU rRNA". The stretch from base 267 to 420 matches the Rfam family "5.8S ribosomal RNA". Lineage: Eukaryota; Fungi; Ascomycota; Pichiomycetes; Pichiales; Pichiaceae. The record is from RNAcentral.
AAGGAUCAUUACAGUAUUCUUUUCAGAUUGAUGUGUAGUUACAAGCGCUGCUGAAAUAUUGCGUGCGCGGUACUGCUAAUCGCUAUGGUCUGAAAAACCUCACACACUUUGUUUUCUUAUUAGAGACAAAUUUGCUUUGGUCUUAUCUGUGUAAAAGCAGAGAAGGCCAGAGAAUAAACAAAACUCUGUUUGUUUCUUCGGAAGCUAAACGUGAACUUUAAACUAUUAGUCAUUUUAAUAAGCUGUAAAAAGCUAUAAAAAAUUAAAACUUUCAACAACGGAUCUCUUGGUUCUCGCAUCGAUGAAGAACGCAGCGAAAUGCGAUAAGUAAUGUGAAUUGCAGAUUUUCGUGAAUCAUUGAAUCUUUGAACGCACAUUGCGCCCUCUGGUAUUCCGGAGGGCAUGCCUGUUUGAGCGUCAUUUCCUUCUCAUACCCCUAGGGUUUGGUGAUGAGUGAUACUUCGCAAGAAGUUCAUUUGAAAUGAAUUGGCAUGAGUUUUUGUUGUAAUUAACAGUUUGUUUAUUCAAUGUAUUAGGUUUUACCAUCGUUGAUUGACGGCUGAUAAAUAUAAUGAAGUAUGGCUCUGCCUAACAAACUUUAUCAUAAAGUUUGACCUCAAAUCAGGUAGGAUUACCCGCUGAACUUAA